Molecule: non-coding RNA, 339 nt
Organism: Python bivittatus (Burmese python)
Lineage: Eukaryota; Metazoa; Chordata; Lepidosauria; Squamata; Pythonidae
Source: RefSeq, a predicted model, not a curated record
ACAGCGAGGCGGACGCGGGCAGGGUGGGAGAAAGCGAAGAACCGCUUCCGCAAAGUUUUUCCCUCCCAACCGGGGAGGGGAGAGAGAGAGAGAAAGAGAAAGGGUGAGACGUCCCCGAGGAUAUGUCACGGGUCGCGCGCUAGCCUUGCGGAAAGGAGAGGGGGCUGGCAGAUGUCCCAAGCGAGCGAAUCUCUUCCUUCGGGGCCUGAUGGGCCAGAGCGCGCUACUUCGGCGGAAAGCAGCUGGUUGACUUCGCUCCCUCGCGAAAACAAGAAUGAAGACAAAACAGCCGUAGGAGAGAGAAGGAUACCAGAACAUUCAUAUAAUCAAAACAUACAA